RNAcentral lists this ribosomal RNA (253 nucleotides) under uncultured bacterium. RNAcentral describes it as "partial 16S ribosomal RNA". It matches the Rfam family "Bacterial small subunit ribosomal RNA", at positions 524 to 776 of the family's 1533-position model. The record is from RNAcentral.
UACAGAGGAUGCAAGCGUUAUCCGGAAUGAUUGGGCGUAAAGCGUCUGUAGGUGGCUUUUUAAGUCCGCCGUCAAAUCCCAGGGCUCAACUCUGGACAGGCGGUGGAAACUACCAAGCUGGAGUACGGUAGGGGCAGAGGGAAUUUCCGGUGGAGCGGUGAAAUGCGUAGAGAUCGGAAAGAACACCAACGGCGAAGGCAGUGUCCUGGGGGGUACCUGACGCUCAGGUGCGAAAGCCAGGGGAGCGAACGGG